UGGGAAAAAUUUAAAAAUUUAUAAAUAAAAAAAAUAAUUUUAAUUUAAAAAUAUUUUAAGGGGGUUAAAGUAUUAUUUAAAGAAAAAAUUUAAAUUUUUAUAGGGGAAAGUAUUGUAAAAUAAAAUUUAAAUAAGUUUGAAAAUAAAUUAAUUUAAAAGUAAUUUUUAUUUAAUGUAUCUUGUGUAUCAGAGUUUAUUAAUUAAAAUAUUUUAAAUAAAAUAUUCUCGAAUUUAUAAGAGUUAAUUAAUUAUUAAAGUUAUUGUUAAAUAAAUAUUUUAAAUAGUUAAUUUGAAAUGAAACGUUAAUCGUUUAUAAAGAUAUCUAGUUUUUUUAGAAAAAAAUUUAAUUUUAUAUUUUUUAAAAUUUUUAUUUAUUUUUUAAUAAAAAUUUUUUUAUUUAUAAUAUUUUAGGGGAUAAACUUUAAAAUAAAUUUUUAUAAUUAAUUAAAAUUUUUAAUAAAAAUUAUAUUAUUUAAAUUUUAAAUAAAAUUUAAUUUGUUAUAAAAAAUUUUAUUAAAAAAAAAAUUUAAUUUGAAAUUUAAUUUUUUAUAAAAAUAUUUAUUUUAAUUUGAAAAAUAAAGUGAUAAUGAUAAAAUUAGUAUAUAAAUUUUUAAUAAUUAAAUUUUUUUAAAAAUUUAAAUUAAGGAAUUCGGCAAAAAUUUAUAUUUACCUGUUUAUUAAAAACAUGUCUUUUUGAUUUAAUUUAAAGUCUGGUCUGCCCACUGAAUUUAUUUGAAGGGCUGCAGUAUAUUGACUGUACAAAGGUAGCAUAAUCAUUAGUCUUUUAAUUGGAGACUUGUAUGAAUGAUCGGAUAAAAUAUAAACUGUCUCAAUUUAAUUUAUAGAAUUUAAUUUUUUAAUUAAAAAGUUAAAAUAAUAUUAAAAGACGAGAAGACCCUAUAGAGUUUUAUAUUGAUAUUUAUUGAAAUUAUUUUUAAGAAAUUAAAUAAAAAAAUAAAUUUUGUUGGGGUGAUAGAAAAAUUAAAUAAACUUUUUUUAAAAUUAUUCAUAAAUAAAUGUAUAUUUGAUCCUAAAUUUUAGAUUAUAAGAUUAAAUUACCUUAGGGAUAACAGCGUAAUUUUUUUUUUUAGUUCUUAUAAAAAAAAAAGUUUGCGACCUCGAUGUUGGAUUAAGAUAAAAUUUAGGUGUAGAAGUUUAAAAUUUUGAUCUGUUCGAUCAUUAAAAUCUUACAUGAUCUGAGUUUAAACCGGUGUGAGCCAGGUUGGUUUCUAUCUUUAAAAAAAUUUAAUAUUUUAGUACGAAAGGAUUUGAUAUUAGAAAUAAUUUUUAUUUUAAGAAUAUUAAUAAAUAAUAAUAA
RNAcentral lists this ribosomal RNA (1318 nucleotides) under Lyonetia clerkella. Its description in RNAcentral is "16S ribosomal RNA". The record is from RNAcentral. Lineage: Eukaryota; Metazoa; Arthropoda; Insecta; Lepidoptera; Lyonetiidae.